CCACAGAGGCUAGCCAUGUUCCUCCAGGGGGCCAUGGGGUCUGCCCUGGCCACCCUGUGCCUGCCUGGGGAUCAUUUUCCUAAAACCACUCCAGGAUGGGAACAGGAAACAAUGAAAGCAAAAAUCUCAUUUAAUGCUUGCUAUUUCUUCUAAGUUCUUUAUUAGUUAUUUAUUUGCUUUUAAUGUUUAGCUGCCCUGUUCGUUUGGACCGGGGAAGGCACAUUUCAAGGGCACCAGACGACUAGACAGGGUGUUUACAGUUUGCUAGGAGCUCACGAGUUCUACUUUACCAGCUCUUUCCUCAUUGAAGCAGAAGCAGGACCGAAGAGGACAGCGGGCAAGGAGUGCUGGAGAUCAAACCCAGGGCCUACUAGGCGUUUUAGGCAAGCACUCUCCAACUGCUGUUAGCCUGAAAAAGUCCCAGGUGAAGAUGAACUUCUUCACACCAUGGCUGUUGGAGGACUACGUGAACUGAAGAUGGUGCUGCAGAGGAGGCAAGGGUUGCUCUUGGAGUCUGCUGGAGGACAGAGAUGUUCUGGUCACAGGCUGUUAGUUCUCUCUGCAGUACGGAAAACAUCAAGACCAUCUCUGAGGCCCUAGGCUUUUUGUGGUGGCCUCCUCAGGUCCUGAUCCCUUUUACCUACUUUGGAGACCCGCCCAAUGAGCUGGGGAAAUUGCAGAGUAACUCCCAAAGGAAAUUCAAAAUAAACUCUGCCAGAACCUG
Mus caroli (Ryukyu mouse) is the source of this 724-nucleotide long non-coding RNA. RefSeq lists it as uncharacterized. Lineage: Eukaryota; Metazoa; Chordata; Mammalia; Rodentia; Muridae. The record is from RefSeq and is a predicted model, not a curated record.